This 253-nucleotide ribosomal RNA is filed under the name uncultured bacterium. Its description in RNAcentral is "partial 16S ribosomal RNA". It matches the Rfam family "Bacterial small subunit ribosomal RNA", at positions 524 to 776 of the family's 1533-position model. The record is from RNAcentral.
UACGUAGGGGGCAAGCGUUAUCCGGAUUUACUGGGUGUAAAGGGCGCGUAGACGGCUCUGCAAGUCUGGAGUGAAAGCCCGGGGCUCAACCCCGGGACUGCUUUGGAAACUGUGGAGCUAGAGUGCAGGAGAGGUAAGUGGAAUUCCUAGUGUAGCGGUGAAAUGCGUAGAUAUUAGGAGGAACACCAGUGGCGAAGGCGGCUUACUGGACUGUAACUGACGUUGAGGCUCGAAAGCGUGGGGAGCAAACAGG